UUAACCCUCCUUUGUUUAUCUCGCUGUUCCCUGAGCUGAAGCUCCCCUGGAACAACAAUAUGAAGCACGAAAGGGUCGAGGGAGAUGCUGAUGAUACCAAUACCAUGCCGUCGAUGUAAAGUGUUACAGCACAAAAAGGGAUCAGAUCGAAGCAAAGAAGAUGCAUGAGGAAGAGGUUCAUAUUGCAGUCGGCAAGAACUCAAGAAAGGAGAAGCUUAACAUACUAUGGUCUGUUGCCAAUUUUCCAAGGGCCGCUAUAGUUCUUGUGCACGUUCACUGGCCCUCCAAGUGGAUGCCGUUCAUGGGUGGAAGACUGUUAUACAAAUUCGCGGAUGAAAUGGAGAAAGAGAAGCAUAGAAACACAGAAAUGGCAGCAAUGGUCAAUAUGUUAUCUAAGUACAAAAGUCUAUGCGGUACAAGAAAGGUAAGGCUAGAUUAGCCUUAUAUCCAUAUUGCAGGGAUUCUCGAGUUUAUUUUUUAAAAAAAUGUCUACCAAAUUUUUUUAUAAAUUUCAUAAAAGACGUCGUUUCUUAAAGUAUCUCCAAGAGCUCCUUAAGACAUGUACUUAUAUAAAAAAUAGGACAAUAUAAACCACCGCCUGACAGUUUUAUAUUUCCCUUUAUAUUUCCCUUUUUCCAUCAAACACACGUAUUGUCCUGGUUUUCAAUACCUUGAGAGGAUUGAAAU
Long non-coding RNA from Zea mays, 687 nucleotides. RefSeq lists it as uncharacterized. The record is from RefSeq and is a predicted model, not a curated record. The transcript is spliced from 3 exons. Lineage: Eukaryota; Viridiplantae; Streptophyta; Magnoliopsida; Poales; Poaceae.